Molecule: ribosomal RNA, 469 nt
Filed under: uncultured bacterium
Lineage: Bacteria
Description: partial 16S ribosomal RNA
Rfam family: Bacterial small subunit ribosomal RNA
Source: RNAcentral
GACGAACGCUGGCGGCGUGCUUAACACAUGCAAGUCGAACGGUGAAGCGAGUGCUUGCACUCGUGGAUCAGUGGCGAACGGGUGAGUAACACGUGAGUAACCUGCCCAUCACUCUGGGAUAAGCACUGGAAACGGUGUCUAAUACUGGAUACGACCAACCCUUGCAUGGGGUGUUGGUGGAAAGAUUUAUCGGUGAUGGAUGGACUCGCGGCCUAUCGGCUUGUUGGCGGGGUAAUGGCCCACCAAGGCGACGACGGGUAGCCGGCCUGAGAGGGUGACCGGCCGCACUGGGACUGAGACACGGCCCAGACUCCUACGGGAGGCAGCAGUGGGGAAUAUUGCACAAUGGGCGAAAGCCUGAUGCAGCGACGCCGCGUGAGGGAUGACGGCCUUCGGGUUGUAAACCUCUUUCAGCAGGGAAGAAGCGAAAGUGACGGUACCUGCAGAAGAAGCACCGGCUAACUACGUG